CCUACGGGUGGCAGCAGUGGGGAAUAUUGGGCAAUGGAGGCAACUCUGACCCAGCAACGCCGCGUGAAUGAUGAAGGUCUUCGGAUUGUAAAGUUCUGUGAUGGGGGAUGAACACAAUGACGGUACCCAAAUAGCAAGCAAGGGCUAACUAGGGGCCAGCAGCGGCGGUAAUACGUAGGUGGCAAGCGUUAUCCGGAAUGACUGGGCGGAAAGGGGGCGUAGGGGGUUUAGUAAGUUGGCGGUGUAAUUCCGGGGCUCAACCUCGGCGCUACCGCCAAAACUAUUAGACUAGAGUGCAGGAGGGGUAAGUGGAAUUCCUAGUGUAGCGGUGGAAUGCGUAGAUAUUAGGAGGAACAUCAGGGGCGAAGGCGACUUACUGGACUGUAACUGACACUGAGGCACGAAAGCGUGGGGAGCAAACAGGAUUAGAUACCCCAGUAGUC
Molecule: ribosomal RNA, 443 nt
Filed under: uncultured bacterium
Lineage: Bacteria
Description: partial 16S ribosomal RNA
Rfam family: Bacterial small subunit ribosomal RNA
Source: RNAcentral